AUGGAGGAUGUACCUAACUCAGUGACAGAAGAAGCGACACCAUUUCAAAAUAUGAAUAAUAUACAGAAGCUUGAAACUGUUAUGUCCCAACAACAUAUGCAAAAUAGCCUGUCUCCGCCACUGAAGUGGACCACCCCUGACUGUACUCAUAAAGUUCCACAACACCAAAUCAAUGCUGGCCAAGGAAAUACGGAUAGAGCAGAUGAAAGUCAUGCAUAUGUGAUGCAAUCUGAACCCAAUAGUGGUGAAGGAAGAGAGGAAAAGGGGGUUUCAACACACAUUGAUAAAGGAGAAGAAACACGGGUCAAGCGAGCAUGUCAUGGUGGAUCAGCAAGAGGAGUACAAGUAGAAGCUAAGGGACAAGGAGGAGGAGAUCACAGACAAUAUCAUGGAGGUCGAGUUAGCGGGUGGGAUGUCCCACCCCCUGGAUUUGGAAUUCUCAAUCCCAAUCCUCUUGAGGGUACUGUCUUUGGGACUGGCUCGUCUUCUGACCACCACUAUUGCACAUCAAGGAAGAUGGGUGUUGGUCCUUCUGUGCGCAGAAACAAGCGUCAAACCAUGGGGCAAAUGUCUCACCCCUAUCCCCCUCCACGCAAGAGAGAAGGUCUAGUGAUGGAACCUAAUGAGUGUGAUUCACCUGCAAAUAGACUUCCUUAUACUUCAUCCCCAAUUCCCAGUGAAGCUUCUUUUGGCUCUAAUAUGGGAGCUUUCCCACAAUCUCACGCUGUUGAUUACCAUCAGUCGGCUCUGGAUGUUAAUCUUGACACUUACAAGGCUGGGACUCCAUCCUCUUUUCAAGGUGAGAGUAAGCCUAGCUUGAUGGUACAUGGGGAUACUAUGGCUGUGUCAGAACCUCUUCGUGAAGAACAAAUGGAACUGGAUAGGGCAAUGGUGCCAGCCCAUAAGGCACCACGGGCGCCAUGA
Molecule: ribosomal RNA, 924 nt
Filed under: Triticum aestivum (bread wheat)
Lineage: Eukaryota; Viridiplantae; Streptophyta; Magnoliopsida; Poales; Poaceae
Description: partial small subunit ribosomal RNA
Source: RNAcentral